This is a long non-coding RNA of Salvia splendens (bonfire salvia), 847 nucleotides long. RefSeq lists it as uncharacterized. The transcript is spliced from 2 exons. The record is from RefSeq and is a predicted model, not a curated record. Lineage: Eukaryota; Viridiplantae; Streptophyta; Magnoliopsida; Lamiales; Lamiaceae.
UUUGUUUUGCUUUUCCAUUUCCCUAUUUAUUUGUCGUUCCCUUCGCCAAUUAUUCAGAAUUCAUCCACCACUAGGUCAAGCCGUCAAGGCGCCGCCUCCACGACCACCGCUAUUUAUACGGCGCCGAGAUCUUUGCCUGUGAUGCUGUUACUCUGUUUCGGUAGAUGCUGACUAUAUAGCCACUUCAUAUGUUUGACGAAAUGCUUAAGAGGGCUGCGAUUGAGUCCUUUUUCUGUUGUAAAGGACCUGAUUUUGGGUUUCCGGUUUUAGGCAGGUUUUUGAAGGGUGGGUACGAGUCUGAUGUGGUAACCUUUACCACUCUUGUCAAAGGGUUUUUAUUGGUUGGAAAGAUCCUUGUUGAUAUGGAAAUUGUUGGCCGAGGAACUGUGUGAGUCUAAUGAAUAUAAUGUCUUGAUUAAUGGGUUAUGCAAAGCUAUGUGAAGUGUUUACGCUCAGCUGCAAACCUAAUGUUUAUACGUCCAUUUUGGUCUUGGACAAUGCGAACCAACAAGCCGAGCAACAUGAUUUUGUUGCUUCAUAGCGAUGGUAGUCUCCAUUUAAUGUUGUGACAUAUAAUUCAAUAAUUAAAGGGUUAUGUAUCAUAGGAAAAGAGGAUGAAUUGUUUUAUAUUUGAAAUUUUUCGGCAGAGAUGAUGUUCCAAUUGAUAUGACAGAAAUGGUGUUCUAAUUGAUAUGAGAAAGAAACUUGCAAUAGCUUGCAUUUGUAUUUGUAUUUGUAUAUCUAUGUAUGUUCCAAUUGAUAUGACAGAAAUGAUGUUCUAAUUGAUAUGAGAAAGAAACUUGCAAUAGCUUGCAUUUGUAUUUGUAUAUCUAUGUAUGUAAAACCU